RNAcentral lists this ribosomal RNA (253 nucleotides) under uncultured bacterium. Its description in RNAcentral is "partial 16S ribosomal RNA". It matches the Rfam family "Bacterial small subunit ribosomal RNA", at positions 524 to 776 of the family's 1533-position model. The record is from RNAcentral.
UACGGGGGGGGCAAGCGUUGUUCGGAAUUACUGGGCGUAAAGGGCUCGUAGGUGGCCAACUAAGUCAGACGUGAAAUCCCUCGGCUUAACCGGGGAACUGCGUCUGAUACUGGAUGGCUAGAGAUUGGGAGAGGGAUGCGGAAUUCCAGGUGUAGCGGUGAAAUGCGUAGAUAUCUGGAGGAACACUGGUGGCGAAGGCGGCAUCCUGGACCAACACUGACGCUGAGGAGCGAAAGCCAGGGGAGCAAACGGG